GAACGCUGGCGGCGUGCUUAACACAUGCAAGUCGAACGAUGAAGCCCUGCUUGCAGGGUGGAUUAGUGGCGAACGGGUGAGUAACACGUGAGUAACCUGCCCCCGACUCUGGGAUAAGCCCGGGAAACUGGGUCUAAUACCGGAUAUGACUUCCUACUGCAUGGUGGGUUGUUGAAAGAUUUAUCGGUGGGGGAUGGACUCGCGGCCUAUCAGCUUGUUGGUGAGGUAAUGGCUCACCAAGGCGACGACGGGUAGCCGGCCUGAGAGGGUGACCGGCCACACUGGGACUGAGACACGGCCCAGACUCCUACGGGAGGCAGCAGUGGGGAAUAUUGCACAAUGGGCGGAAGCCUGAUGCAGCGACGCCGCGUGAGGGAUGACGGCCUUCGGGUUGUAAACCU
RNAcentral lists this ribosomal RNA (401 nucleotides) under Arthrobacter sp. EP_S_66. Its description in RNAcentral is "bacterial SSU rRNA". It matches the Rfam family "Bacterial small subunit ribosomal RNA", at positions 31 to 432 of the family's 1533-position model. Lineage: Bacteria; Bacillati; Actinomycetota; Actinomycetes; Micrococcales; Micrococcaceae. The record is from RNAcentral.